UAUUUAAGACAUAAGGCCAUGGAUGUCAUUCCGUAUGCACCAAAGGACAUGCUUGUCACCCUUCUUUUUGUAUGUAAGUUGUAUGAAGGUCUUGCCUCCUCUUUGUUCAACCUAACACGAAUUUCACAAAGGAAAUCUACAUAUCAUGUCCCUCAAUAUGUAACAUGCCAGAGUUCGACUUUGGUUAAAACUCAUAAAAAAAACUCCAAUCCAAUUUGGACAUCUUGUUUUCUGAACCUCUCAUUCUAUGUAGACAAAUUUGGCCCUACAUAUGUUGAGUAACCAAUUUGAUUAUAACUGCUAUAUAACCAACCUACCCCUUAGUGAAGCAUCUUGUAACUUUCGGACUCGGGGUGGGGUGCCACCGAUGUUGCAACUUACAUUGACAAAGACUGUUUCAUCUAAGAAUCAUCCACCUGCUUGAUGGUUAGAAUGUUCAUAAUGGCAGAGCAUUACCCAGGUGCAAAACUGAUGGCUGACCUGGACAAAUAAAACAGACGAUGCUUCAUCUCAAUCCCUAGAAACUAGUUUUGUGAGAUGCAUGCAAGUAGUUUCAAUAUACAGUAAAAAACUAAACAUUUGAAUACAGCACCCGAAGAUGCAUAAGCACACAAUGACAUUAUAUAUCUGAUGUCAAGGAUUAUACAUCUAAUAUCAUGGACAUGAGUAAAUUCUGAUACCAAUAAAUCUGGAUGAUAUCAAAGUUGGGUUUCAUAUCUGAGCAAUUUGUUUUUAAUUAUUUGCGGCAAAAGAUGCCCUAAUUCAAAGAUUAAAUUCAGCAUAAACUCUGUAAAAUGCAUGGGAAAUAAAAUUCACAGUUCAGCCUUUUCGGAUCCUAUAAUUAUUAACUGAAACAUCUAUAGCCAGAUUUGCCAUACAAGGUAUUUUGGCGAUUCACCCCUCAACACACAAACAUGGAAAAAGAAGCACACAACUCAAAUCACAUGACUUUUACUUCGGAUAAGAUAUUACUGCUAUUGAUCUUUCUAUGCAAGAGAGGUGCAUAGAGUAGAGGCUGUCAUCUAUCAAAUACCAUGAUAUCUGCAUCAGAAUAACAUUGUAGUGCAUAUGAACAAAAAGGGAGUAAUAGCACAUGAAGGGAAUGGAAUGCACAACAAUGUUAAUUAUAAAACUUAACCCCAAAAGGAAAAAACAAAACAAUAGGCAUGGGCUUGGAAAGAUGACGCGAUAUCCACUAAAUCCCAAAAGAAAAUCUUGCCAUCUUCAGAUCCACUAGUGACAUAGGCGUCGGUGUUUGUGAGGCAACAAUCCAUCUUGUAGGACUGCCCAAAAGGAAAUAAGACGAUAGCAUGAUGAUAACUUGUAAGUCAUUGUAGAAACGAUACCUAAAAGGAGUAGAAAUGAGAAUGACAUGUAUUAGAAAAAUAUGAGAUGAAUGAUCAGAUACUAAAAUGGUUUGCAUAUAAAAAACCUACAUCUAUUAAGAGACAUUUCAUACAACAUUGCUCCCUAGGACACAAAGUAUGUCAUUCAUUAACAUUAGGAUAAUAGUAUGCAAUUAAUAAUAUAUCAUUCACAACUGGAACAAUUUGACAAUACCAUAAAUGGAAGAGUAAACAUUUACAUUGAUCCUCUCCAUAAUGAACUGAAAAUAAGCAGUAUAUAUUGGGAUUCCGAGAAAAAUAGAAAAGUUCAAGUCAACAAUUUGGUAUAUGUUAACAGUCAGUGAUGAAUAAUAAUGACUGGUAAUAUGGACUUCAGGAAAGAAAGAUAUCCCAACUGCAUCAUGCAGAACAUAAUUGAAACAAAAAAGAAGCGUAUGAAAUAUCCAAGACAUAAUUGAAAAAAAUCAGCUAUAACAAACAAAAAAUCUGACUACAGACUUGGAGCCCCAACAAAUCUAACAUUGCAAGUAUGGCCUUUAUAUUCUUGAAGGAGUUCUCUAGUUGACCUCAGACAAAGACAUUGGAAAUAAGAAACAAGUACCUCACAGUUUGUCUUCACUAUUUAAAAUGGAAAAUCACUGAAAAUAUUUAUUUAUAAAGAAGGUGGAGUGCGGAAUCCAAGCAACUUGCUACUACGCACUUACUGUCAUUUGAAGUCAAUAUGCAGUUCACAGGCUGCCCCAACUCAUCAACUUCCCAGGUUAAUAACAACAAGAGGCCCUAGAAAUGAAUCGAAGAGAAAAGAUAUCAAAAUUUCAAAUGAAAGGAGAAAAGCAAUUAUAAAUGAAAAGAGAAAAGCAACACAUAUAUCAGCUAAGGGACUCUGGGGCUCUCACUGGGCCAAGGGUCACUUACCUACCAACAUGAAUGUCAAAAGUGAAAACGGUCCCAUCCACACUCUCCAGCCAGAAUUUCAGUGUUUGUCAAACAAAUAGAAUUACACAUUCUGAAGAAGUGUCUAUUGCCCGGGGCAUCAAAUGUAAUUAUAAUUUAGAAAUUUUGGAGCAAUUCAAAACCCAAGCAUGCUAAUUUUAUGGUAUCGACCAAACAAAAAGAAUGACACGUAAAGUUGCUCAAAACAAAGUAUUCA
Molecule: long non-coding RNA, 2496 nt
Filed under: Amborella trichopoda
Lineage: Eukaryota; Viridiplantae; Streptophyta; Magnoliopsida; Amborellales; Amborellaceae
Description: long non-coding RNA (ATRI_LNC001804)
Source: RNAcentral